Molecule: long non-coding RNA, 10917 nt
Filed under: Sorghum bicolor (sorghum)
Lineage: Eukaryota; Viridiplantae; Streptophyta; Magnoliopsida; Poales; Poaceae
Description: long non-coding RNA (SBIC_LNC003591)
Source: RNAcentral
CCCGCUGAAUUCGAGCAACCCGACAUCGAUCAAGGCAAGUGCAGACACCGUUUGAUCAUUUUGAACCUACUCAUUAAUGUCAUUUACUUUAUAUGCAUGUGUCCAAUGAAUGCAAACCCUAAGGACAUGAUUAGCUUUACUUACUAUUCCUUGUUCACCUGGGGUUAUGUAUAUGGGUAGACUAGGCCAUACUAGGUUUGCUUAGCUGCUCUACUCAUCUUAAACACAUGCCUAAACAAGUAUUAAUCUCUACUCAACUUGAUGCUUAAACUGUGCUGAACCUUUGGUCACUGUGGCGAUGGUGAUGAUGGAUGCUCACGAGCAUCGUGAUGAUGGUGGUGACAGGGGGAGCGGGUACCGUUGGUGGUCCGGUUUGCCGGGCGUACCCGUCUCUGCUCUCCGUAAGGACUUAGUCAGGGAGCGGCCCCCUGGGACUUACAGUGCAGCUCCAAGCUAUAUGGCUCUGGCUUGACUAAUUAUCAGGACCUCCGCUGGUAGGGUGUUACUUUCCGGGUAGGCGUAAGGAAUGUAGCUUGGGUAUUCAUAUUAAGAGGUCGGUCAGUUCGAGGUCCCAUUGCUAUGGGCACGGCUGCCGCGCGCCCCGGCAAAAACUUACGAGUGGCAUCCUAUUAGUUGGACCCUGUGAAAGGUCUCGUAGUGAAACCCUGCCUGCUCACCUUGGUAGUGUUUUGGGGAGUCAUGACCCCGGGCAAAUGGGAAUCACGACUUGGAGUGAACGUGCACACCUCUGCAGAGUGUAAAACUGAUAUAUCAGCCGUGCUCACGGUCACGAGCGGCCCAGACCCUCACUUGAUGAGCAAAUUGGAUUUACUGGAUACUUGGAGAUGGAGCUUGGCGAGGUUGCUACCUCGUGUUUUGGCGGAAUGGCUAUUCCACGUUGGCAGGAUUGCUAUCCUGUGUUAAUAAUUGGGGUUAAUCCCUGGACUUCUAUAAUUAUUAGGAUAGUCAUUUAAAAUAUGCUAAUUACUACUUACACUAAUUAAGGGUUGGGUUUAUGCGACUCAUAAUUAGUAAUAGGUUGUUCUAAUAAUAGUCAUAAUUAAAAGUGAUCAACUAAAAUGCUAGCGCAGUCAAACCAAGUCAGCUUUACCUUGUUUUAAGCCUUGCAUGUCAUUACUUUCCGUCUGUGCUUGCUGAGUUCGACAUGAGCUCACCCUUGCUAUAAUCAUUAAAGGUUGCUCGGACGAUCAGGAGUACAAUUGUGAUUUCCCUGAGGACUACCUUGAGUCUCCCGGUUGUUAGGCUCGUGUGGUUCUGCCGUCGACCUUCCUGUGGCAAGGUGGACCUGCUGCGUCGGCGUCUAGUUUCCCUUUUAUUUAUGGAACAUUUUAGCUUAUGUUUCCCCUUCGCACUUUGAUAAACAUUUGGCUUGUAAUAAUGGUACUUUUACUCUCAUUUAUGUAAUUCGUUUGAACACUGUGUUUUGUACCAUUGAUGAUGUCGGUCCAUGUGUGUGAAUUUGAGAUCCUGGCGCACAUGUGAUUUGGCACCCGAAUGCUCUCUUACAUCCGGGUGUGACAGAAGUGGUACCAAAGCCGUGUUGACCGUAGGAUCACGCAGCCUAGUUAGAAACAGCCGUUUAGAAUGUCCCUUUUGGGUGGAAUACACCAUUGGAUCUACUGACUGCCUUACUAACCUGUCUCAUUAGACUUUAUCUAUUAGCCUUAUCUACUUACUUUUGCUAACACUUCAGUUUAUUCACUUACUUCCUGCAUUUAUUACCUUGUUAUCAUUUAUUGCUUCCUGCUUCUCAUAUUGCAUUUAUGUUCUUGUUUCAACUUUUAUUACUUAUUAUUUGAACCUUUCUUGUUUACCUUGUCUUUUGUUUAUCAUUCUACUCAUAUUACCUUCUUGUUCCUUGUUUUUCAUUUAUUACUUGAGUUAUGUUUUAUUUCUGCCUUGACCAUAAAUUUCAUUACCUUGUUUUUACUUUAUACCUUCAUUACUUGUUUUCCAUAUCUCGCCAUAAAUACCACCAAAGUUCAUAUUGUUCAUCCAUUGUAUAAUCUUGGUUCAUCUUCAUUACACAUACACUUUUACCUUCAUUUAUGUUAUUCAUUUAUCUAUCAUUGUCAUGAUCUAUUAACCGUUUCCUGCAUGUCUAUGAUCUUAUGCAUAAGUAGAUGACUCACCAUUUGACCUGCCGCAAGAGCGUCAUUCGUUUCCGCCCUGUUCAAGCUGUGGAGUUAUCGUUGACUGGUCGCGUGGAUAACAUCGUGUUCCAGCCUAACCAGCAUCUCGAUGACGGUGCUAACCUCCAAGACGCGGAACCCUAUGAAGGACAACAACCACCUCAAGCUCUGGUGGUGCAUGGAAGGGCGCCUUGCUGGGCAGCUGGAGGAGAUGAUCCCUUCGGUGAUGAUGAUGACAUGGAUGAUGAUGAUGAGGAUGCACCUGGAGGACCUGGAGGACCCGGAGGACCCGGUAGACCUGGAGGACCUGGAGGUCAAGAUGGACUUUUUGCUGCUGAUGAUGGGUGGAUUGUGACAGUCUGCACAAGGGAUGGUUGAGAGUGUUUCUUCCACAGCGAGCUGAAGCGUCUCCUUGACCAGCAACUAGGACAUGGCAUGUUCUCAGUGGAGUACCGCAGUGAGCACUGGAGUCACCCAGACUACCCGGCGUACUGGAAGGUCUGGGCACACGUCGGCAGGCCUAACCCAACGCUGAGGGCACUGAGGAUCAUGUCCAUACAUGAAGCUGUGGCAGAGAGGUUUACCCAGAUGGCGGGCAUUAAUGAUGCUGCUCGUCAGGCUUUCUACGCGUACCGUGAUCACUUCUUCGAGGAGAUCAGCCAGGAUGAACACCGCUACUACCCUCGCCGUCGCCGAGGAGAGUUGGCGAUGACUAUUGCUUCCACCACGGAUGAGCAAGACCCCCGCGUGCAUAGGACUGUCAAGCUGGUGGCGGUCACUAACACCGAGCUCAACAGUUCACUAGUGGAGCUGAAGCAAGUGAGGAAGGAGCUGGACGACGCUAGGAAGAGGAUAGCGCAGCUGGAGGCUCAGAUCACUGGAGUGCCACUGCCUUCACCUAAGUGGCUUGCUUUCUCUCCGCCUCGUGAAGACCCAGCCUAUGGAGAUGCCAGCGCUCGUACUACUAUAGAAUAGGAGCUAUUCCCAGCUUAGUAAUAAAUAGUGCCACGCUUAGAACGUUAGCACGAUCUUAGUUAUGCGAGUCUAGUGCUUAGUCGUUUGCUUAGUGUGCUUUGCUUGGUCUGUGUGAGAACUUGAUUUAUUAUUGUGUUAAUGGUGUGAUUUGGUUCUUUGUAAUGAGUGCGAUGAGUUGUGGGUUGUGUCCACAACGCAUCAAGAACAAUAUUAAGUAUUAAGUUUAUAUGAGAUAGUUAGUUUGGGUUAUCAUCGGUCUCCUUUAUUUGUGCUUUAUCAUAUUUCAUAUCGCUUUAUCUUAUCAGUCUUACUUUAUCAUGAUCAGUUCAUUAUCUAUAUAUUACAUCUGUUAUGAGUACUGUGUUGAUCAACUAAGAAAGGAAAGUGACUAUCAGCUGGUUCAUACUUUGAGGAAAGAUUAUACAUUGCAGUUUACAUUACAGCUCAGGUUUACACAUAUGAACUACAUCUGAUUUUAUUAUAUUAUUUCUAUACAUCAGAUGCCUGUCAACACCAGGAGCAACAGCAAUGGAGGAAACAACGGGCAGUCCAACAACAACAAUAAUGAUCACAGCGGGACUAAUGCCAACCCUCCUCCUCCUGUGAAUCAGCUCAUGACCAUAGAGCAGUUGAUGACUAUGCAGACUCAACUGAUGCAAGGGAUGGCCCAUAUUAUGAACCACAUGCAGCAGAACCAAAAUCAGAAUCAGAACCAACAUCAAGGAGGUAACAACGCGUUUGCCCCACCUAGGGACAAGCGUGGAGAGUUCAUGAAGGGACGUCCACCGUUCUUCUCUCACUCAGCUGAUCCUAUGCAAGCUGAGGAUUGGCUUAAAGCUGUGGAGAAGCAGCUGGUCAUUGCUCAGUGCAAUGACAGGGAGAAGGUUCUGUAUGGCUCUGGGCAGCUUCAGGGAGCCGCACAAGACUGGUGGGAUUCGUACUGCUUUGCACAUCAGGACCCGGAUACUAUCACUUGGGAUGAGUUCAAGGUCGCCUUCAAGACUCAUCAUGUGCCUGCUCGAUUGGUGAAGCUGAAGAAGAAGGAGUUUCUGUCUCUGAAGCAGGGCUCCAUGACAGUUUGUGAGUACCGUGACAAGUUCACUCAGUUGUCGCGGUAUUGCCCCAAUGAGGUGGAGAACGAUGAAGACAAGCAAGACCAAUUCCUGGAAGGUUUGAAUGAUGGGCUGUCCUACAUGAUGUCAAAUGUCAAGUAUGCCAGUUUCCAGGAGAUGGUGGACAGGGCAUUGGUGCUUGAGAGCAAGCGCCGCAAGAUGGAAGACAAGAAGAGAAAGUAUAAUUCCUCUCAGCCGUCCCCGCUACAACACUCAGCAGGGCCCUCAGUCUCGCCCUGCAUAUCAGUCAGGCAACCAAGGACAGCAGCAGAAUGUCAGGUACAGCAAUCAGAGUCAGUAGACGAGCCAGCGCUACAACAACAACCAAGUGCAGCGCCCCGCUAGCCAGGCGCCUCGUCAGAAUGCCCCAGCACCAUCAGGCUCUCGCCAGAACUCCAACACUAUCCCAGCGAAGCCCAAUGUCAACCCCACCCCCACUGGAAAUACCUGUUUCAAGUGUGGUCAGCUUGGACACUACGCGAAUGCUUGCCCCCAGAAGCAGAAGAACAACAAUGGAAGGGUGAAUCAUGUGAAGCUGGAAACUGCUGAGGAGGCUCCAGAUGUGGUACUUGGUACGUUCCUUGUCAACUCUUGCCCAGCUACUAUUUUGUUUGAUACUGGAGCAUCACAUACUUUUAUAAGUGCACAGUUUGUUGAGAAACAUAGUAUAGCCACCUGUACCAUGCAAAACACCAUGAUAGUUAAAUCACCUGGGGGAAAGAUGCAUACUAAUACUUUGUGUCCGGGAAUGAGCAUUAAAAUAAGGGGGGUAGAUUUUCCUGUCAAUCCUAUUGUGUUGGGUUCAGAAGGUUUAGAUAUGAUAUUGGGAAUGAGAUGGUUGUCCAAGUUUAAGGGUACUAUUCAGUGUGCUGAGAAGUCAGUUGCUCUAACAUCACCUAGUGGGAACAGAAUUGAGGUCAGAGUUUCUAUGUCACCUAGCAGUGAAGGAACAGUCUACCAUGUGAGCAGUGGGUCAGUAGAGGAUAUUCGAGUUGUGAAAGAAUUCCCUGAUGUGUUUCCAGAGGAUUUGCCAGGUAUGCCACCUGAACGUGAGAUUGAAUUUGUUAUUGAUUUAUUACCUGGUACUGCACCCAUAUCUAAGAGACCUUAUAGAAUGGCUGUUAAUGAGUUAGAAGAACUUAAGAAACAACUAAGGGAGUUACAGUCUAAGGGGUAUAUCCGUCCUAGUUCCUCACCUUGGGGAGCUCCAGUUAUCUUUGUAGAGAAGAAGGAUGGGACACAGAGGAUGUGUGUAGACUAUAGAUCUUUGAAUGAGGUCACAAUUAAGAAUAAAUACCCUUUGCCUAGAAUAGAGGACUUGUUUGACCAGUGGAAAGGAGCUUGUGUGUUUUCCAAGAUAGAUUUGAGAUCAGGUUAUCACCAGUUGAGGAUUAAAUCUAGUGAUAUUCCAAAGACUGCUUUCACCACCAGAUAUGGACUUUAUGAGUAUACAGUUAUGUCUUUUGGGUUAACUAAUGCUCCAGCUUACUUUAUGUAUCUGAUAAAUAAAGUUUUUAUGGAGUAUUUGGAUAAGUUUGUGGUAGUCUUUAUUGAUGAUAUCUUGAUCUGCUCCAAGACUGAGGAAGAACAUGAGGAAAACCUGAGACUUGUGUUGCAGAAAUUGAGGGAACAUCAGCUCUAUGCCAAGUUGAGUAAGUGUGACUUCUAGUUGAAGGAGGUAUCUUUUCUUGGUUAUGUCAUUUCAAAUGGUGGAGUUGCUGUCAGUCCGAAGAAUGUGGCAGAUGUCCUUAAGUGGAGUCCACCUCAGACUGUGGGAGAGAUCAGAAGUUUUCUAGGAAUGGCUGGUUACUAUCGGAGAUUCAUUGAAGGGUUUUCCAGUAUUGCUAAGCCCAUGACUGCUUUGCUAGAGAAGGGUCAGCCAUUCAAGUGGAAUGAAUAGUGUUAGGCUAGCUUUGAGGAGUUGAAGAAGAGGUUGACUACUGCACCAAUUCUGACUUUGCCUGAUGUGACUAAAAGUUUUCUAUCUAUUGUGAUGCUUCCAAGCAAGGUUUGGGAUGUGUGUUGAUGCAAGAGGGAAAGGUGAUUGCCUAUGCAUCCAGACAGUUGAAGAAACAUGAGGUGAAUUAUCCAACUCAUGAUCUUGAGUUAGCAGCAGUGGUCCAUUCACUGAAGAUCUGGAGACACUAUAUUCUGGGUCAUAAGUGUGACAUCUCUACGGAUCACAAGAGUCUGAAAUACAUCUUCACUCAGAAUGACUUGAACCUGAGACAGAGAAGAUGGUUAGAGUUGAUCAAGGAUUAUGAACUGGAGAUUCAUUACCACCCUGGCAAGGCUAAUGUAGUUGCUGAUGCUCUGAGUAGAAAGAGUCAAGUGAAUAUGUUGGAAGCCACAGAGUUACCGAUGGAACUACUGGCAGAAUUUGAGUAUCUAAAUUUGGGAUUUGUUGCUAAUACCCAAGGUACUUCCAUGGACAUAGAACCAACUCUUGAGCAAGAGAUCAGAAAAGGUCAGAAAGAGGAUGAAGAGAUCAAAAAGAUACUUAAGCUGAUAGAAGAAGGUAGAGCACCUGGAUUCAAAGUUGAUCAAGAAGGGAUUGUUUGGCACAAGGACCGAUUGUGUGUGCCUGAUAUUCAGAGAAUCAAGGAUGUGAUACUGAAGGAGUGCCAUGAAUCUGCUUACUCUAUUCAUCCAGGAGGAACUAAGAUGUACUAGGACUUGAAACAAAACUAUUGGUGGCCUGGUAUGAAGAAAGAUAUUGGUGAAUAUGUGGAUUGUGUGACACCUGUCAGAGAGUGAAAGCGGAACAUCAGAGGCCAGCAGGGUUGUUGCAACCGUUGAAGAUACCUGAGUGGAAGUGGGAUGAGAUCAGCAUGGACUUCAUAGUGGGAUUGCCGAAAACUCAACGAGGUUAUGACUCAAUAUGGGUUGUAGUAGAUCGAUUGACCAAGGUAGCUCAUUUCAUACCGGUCAAAACUAACUACCGUGGAGAUCAGUUAGCAGAAAAGUAUAUGGAACGGAUUGUGUGUCUGCAUGGAGUUCCUAAGAGGAUUGUGUCUGAUAGAGGUACACAGUUUACAUCAAAGUUUUGGGAGAAGUUACAUGAUGCUUUGGGAACCGAGCUCAGAUUCAGUACUGCUUAUCACCCUCAGUCCGAUGGUCAGACAGAGAGAGUCAACCAGAUAGUAGAGGAUAUGCUCAGGUCUUGUGCUUUACAGUAUGGAGAUAGUUGGGAUACUAGUUUGCCCUACGCUGAGUUCUCCUAUAACAAUAGUUAUCAGACUAGUCUUAAGAUGACUCCUUUUGAAGCCUUGUAUGGAAGGAAGUGUAGGACUCCAUUGUUCUGGAACCAAACUGGUGAAAGGCAAGUGUUCGGCCCUGAUUCUUUGAGGAUAGCCGAAGAAAGAGUUCAGUUCAUCCGACAGACUCUGAAAGCAGCUCAGUCUAGACAGAAGAGUUAUGCAGAUGUGAGACGAAGGGAACUUGUGUUUCAGGCAGGUGAUUAUGUAUACCUGAAAGUGUCUCCGAUGAGGGGUCUAAAGAGGUUCAAUGUCAAGGGAAAGCUAGCUCCAAGAUAUGUUGGUCCUUUCAAGAUUUUGGAAAGGAAAGGAGAGGUGGCUUAUGAGCUUGAGCUGCCUGCUAGUUUAUCCAAUGUGCACAAUGUUUUCCAUGUCUCCCAAUUCAAGAAAUGCUUGAGGGUGCCUGAGGAACUGGAUUUACAGGAUGAUCUAACUUAUGAAGAGAGUCCUAUCAAAGUCCUGGACACAGCAGAGAGAAUUACCAGGAGUAAAACUAUCAGGUUGUGUAAAGUACAAUGGAAACACCAUUCUGAGGAAGAGGCAACCUGGGAAAGAGAAGAUGAUCUGAAAUCCAAAUACCCUCAGUUAUUCUCUGGUUCAUCCUAAUCUCGAGGACGAGAUUCUUUUAAGGGGGUAGGUUUAUAACACUCCAAAUUUUUGAAUUUGAAAUUUAGUUUGAAUUUGAUUUAAUUUUGGGCUUAGUUUGAAUUUUUGAGAAUUAUUAAAUAAUUUACAAAAUUAAAUAAAAUUAAAUAUAAGGUAGAAAACUUGUUCAUGUGCAUUCAUGCCGCUGCAUUUAUUUUUGUUUGACUUGCUUGCUUGUGCUUGAAUUAUUUUGUUGCAAGAAAGAAAAAUAGAAGAAACUGUUUCUGUUAAAAAAAAGGAAAAAGGAGAGCACCCACCUGGGCCGAUUCUCGGCCCAGCGCCCCGCACCCCUCCCCUCUCCCCACUCCCGCACGGCCCAGCAGCGGCCCAGCCGCAGCGCGCAGCCCGCAGCGCCCCCUGCCCCCGCCCGCAGCCGCUGACGCGUGGGCCCCGCAGGUGGGACCCACCGUCAUCCCUAACCUCCCGUCCGAAACGGACGGGGAGUCCGCGCCGCCACCCCGGUUUCCGAGCCGCACGCGCACCCCGAGGUUCACCCUAGCCUAUUUAAGGCGUCCCUCGGCCGCCCGCACCCCCCCUAAACCCUAGCCUCGCUCCCGAGCCGCCGCGUGUUCGUUUCGCCGAAACCCGCGCCGCCGCCGUCAACCUCGCCGCCGCCGCCGUCGCACUCCUCUCCGCGCUGCCGGUUUCGCGAAGGUGAGCCGCGCCCCGUCCUUGCCGCGUCGUGCCGACCCCGGUGGUGCCCUCGGCGUGCUCCGUCUCGCCCCGUAGGGCCGUGCCCGCGACCUCGUCAGCGGCGGCCAUGGCGCCGCCGUCCCUGCCCGCCGCGCCGCCGCGGCCCCGCCGCUCGCCUCGCCCGCGCGCGGUCGACGAUGGACUCGCGGCUCAGCGCCCGCGUGGCCGGUCCACCGCCCAGCGGCCUCCCCUGCCCCGUGCGCGCGGUCCACCGCGCACCCGUGGACCCGCCAACCGCCGGCCGCCACGUGGCCAGUCAAUCUGGCCGACCAGCGCCCCCCUGCGUUUUUGCAAAAAAACCCCCUGGGUUUCUUUGAAAUCAACCCGCGCUCCAUUUAGUUCAAGUUUUAUUUAAAAUAUGCACCUGCUUUUACAGUUUAGCCCCUGCACCCGUUGGUUUUUAUAUAUUUAACCCAAAUCCCUUUUUAAUUCAGUUUUUAAUUAGUUUUAAUUACGAAAAAUAGUUCAGUUUAUCUACAGAUUUGCCAUCCAACUUGUUUUAGCCAUAACUUUUGCAUCGUAACUCCGAUUUAGGUGAUUCUGGUCGCUAUAGUUUCGUUUCGUCGAGUAGAAUACAGUGGUGCAGUUGCUUUCUGUUUUCGCAUGCUUUGGUGUACUGUUUCUGAUUAAGCUUGUUUGCUUGCAUGUAUUGUUCCUUUGAUGAUGAUUGUCGCGUAUAGCCAACGAGACGUUCGUGAAGGAAGAGGUUCAGGAUCCCGCUGAAUUCGAGCAACCCGACAUCGAUCAAGGCAAGUGCAGACACCGUUUGAUCAUUUUGAACCUACUCAUUAAUGUCAUUUACUUUAUAUGCAUGUGUCCAAUGAAUGCAAACCCUAAGGACAUGAUUAGCUUUACUUACUAUUCCUUGUUCACCUAAGGUUAUGUAUAUGGGUAGACUAGGCCAUACUAGGUUUGCUUAGCUGCUCUACUCAUCUUAAACACAUGCCUAAACAAGUAUUAAUCUCUACUCAACUUGAUGCUUAAACUGUGCUGAACCUUUGGUCACUGUGGCGAUGGUGAUGAUGGAUGCUCACGAGCAUCGUGAUGAUGGUGGUGACAGGGGGAGCGGGUACCGUUGGUGGUCCGGUUUGCCGGGCGUACCCGUCUCUGCUCUCCGUAAGGACUUAGUCAGGGAGCGGCCCCCUGGGACUUACAGUGCAGCUCCAAGCUAUAUGGCUCUGGCUUGACUAAUUAUCAGGACCUCCGCUGGUAGGGUGUUACUUUCCGGGUAGGCGUAAGGAAUAUAGCUUGGGUAUUCAUAUUAAGAGGUCGGUCAGUUCGAGGUCCCAUUGCUAUGGGCACGGCUGCCGCGCGCCCUGGCAAAAACUUACGAGUGGCAUCCUAUUAGUUGGACCCUGUGAAAGGUCUCGUAGUGAAACCCUGCCUGCUCACCUUGGUAGUGUUUUGGGGAGUCAUGACCCUGGGCAAAUGGUAAUCACGACUUGGAGUGAACGUGCACACCUCUGCAGAGUGUAAAACUGAUAUAUCAGCCGUGCUCACGGUCACGAGCGGCCCAGACCCUCACUUGAUGAGCAAAUUGGAUUCACUGGAUACUUGGAGAUGGAGCUUGGCGAGGUUGCUACCUCGUGUUUUGGCGGAAUGGCUAUUCCGCGUUGGCAGGAUUGCUAUCCUGUGUUAAUAAUUAGGGUCAAUCCCUGGACUUCUAUAAUUAUUAGGAUAGUCAUUUAAAAGAUGCUAAUUACUACUUACACUAAUUAAGGGUUGGGUUUAUGCGACUCAUAAUUAGUAAUAGGUUGUUCUAAUAAUAGUCAUAAUUAAAAGUGAUCAACUAAAAUGCUAGCGCAGUCAAACCAAGUCAGCUUUACCUUGUUUUAAGCCUUGCAUGUCAUUACUUUCCGUCUGUGCUUGCUGAGUUCGACAUGAGCUCACCCUUGCUAUAAUCAUUAAAGGUUGCUCGGACGAUCAGGAGUACAAUUGUGAUUUCCCUGAGGACUACCCUGAGUCUCCCGGUUGUUAGGCUCGUGUGGUUCUGCCGUCGACCUUCCUGUGGCAAGGUGGACCUGCUGCGUCGGCGUCUAGUUUCCCUUUUAUUUAUGGAACAUUUUAGCUUAUGUUUCCCCU